This 1036-nucleotide ribosomal RNA is filed under the name Listeria monocytogenes. Its description in RNAcentral is "partial 23S ribosomal RNA". It matches the Rfam family "Bacterial large subunit ribosomal RNA", at positions 338 to 1375 of the family's 2925-position model. Lineage: Bacteria; Bacillati; Bacillota; Bacilli; Caryophanales; Listeriaceae. The record is from RNAcentral.
CGGUCUGGAAAGGCCCGCCAAAGACGGUAACAGCCCGGUAGUUGAAAUGGCUUUCCCUCCAGAGUGGAUCCUGAGUACGGCGGAACACGUGAAAUUCCGUCGGAAUCCGGGAGGACCAUCUCCCAAGGCUAAAUACUCCCUAGUGACCGAUAGUGAACCAGUACCGUGAGGGAAAGGUGAAAAGCACCCCGGAAGGGGAGUGAAACAGUUCCUGAAACCGUGUGCCUACAAGUAGUUAGAGCCCGUUAAUGGGUGAUAGCGUGCCUUUUGUAGAAUGAACCGGCGAGUUACGAUUUGUUGCAAGGUUAAGCGGAAAAAGCGGAGCCGUAGCGAAAGCGAGUCUGAAUAGGGCGCAUAAGUAACAGGUCGUAGACCCGAAACCAGGUGAUCUACCCAUGUCCAGGAUGAAGGUAAGGUAAUACUUACUGGAGGUCCGAACCCACGCACGUUGAAAAGUGCGGGGAUGAGGUGUGGGUAGCGGAGAAAUUCCAAUCGAACUUGGAGAUAGCUGGUUCUCUCCGAAAUAGCUUUAGGGCUAGCCUCGAGGUAAAGAGUCAUGGAGGUAGAGCACUGUUUGGACUAGGGGCCCUUCUCGGGUUACCGAAUUCAGAUAAACUCCGAAUGCCAUGUACUUAUACUCGGGAGUCAGACUGCGAGUGAUAAGAUCCGUAGUCGAAAGGGAAACAGCCCAGACCACCAGUUAAGGUCCCCAAAUAUAUGUUAAGUGGAAAAGGAUGUGGGGUUGCUUAGACAACCAGGAUGUUGGCUUAGAAGCAGCCACCAUUGAAAGAGUGCGUAAUAGCUCACUGGUCGAGUGACCCCGCGCCGAAAAUGUACCGGGGCUAAACAUAUUACCGAAACUGUGGAUGAACCUCUUUAGAGGUUCGUGGUAGGAGAGCGUUCUAAGGGCGGUGAAGUCAGACCGGAAGGACUGGUGGAGCGCUUAGAAGUGAGAAUGCCGGUAUGAGUAGCGAAAGAAGGGUGAGAAUCCCUUCCACCGAAUAUCUAAGGUUUCCUGAGGAAGGCUCGUCCGCUC